Molecule: transfer RNA, 77 nt
Filed under: Alphaproteobacteria bacterium
Lineage: Bacteria; Pseudomonadati; Pseudomonadota; Alphaproteobacteria
Description: tRNA-Pro
Rfam family: tRNA
About the family: Transfer RNA (tRNA) molecules are approximately 80 nucleotides in length. Their secondary structure includes four short double-helical elements and three loops (D, anti-codon, and T loops). Further hydrogen bonds mediate the characteristic L-shaped molecular structure. tRNAs have two regions of fundamental functional importance: the anti-codon, which is responsible for specific mRNA codon recognition, and the 3' end, to which the tRNAs corresponding amino acid is attached (by aminoacyl-tRNA synthetases). tRNAs cope with the degeneracy of the genetic code in two manners: having more than one tRNA (with a specific anti-codon) for a particular amino acid; and 'wobble' base-pairing, i.e. permitting non-standard base-pairing at the 3rd anti-codon position.
Source: RNAcentral
CGGAGCGUAGCUUAGCCUGGUAAAGCGCCUGCUUCGGGAGCAGGAGACCGGAGGUUCGAAUCCUCUCGCUCCGACCA